Molecule: ribosomal RNA, 496 nt
Filed under: uncultured bacterium
Lineage: Bacteria
Description: partial 16S ribosomal RNA
Rfam family: Bacterial small subunit ribosomal RNA
Source: RNAcentral
GAUGAACGCUGGCGGCGUGCCUAAUACAUGCAAGUCGAGCGAACAGACGAGGAGCUUGCUCCUCUGACGUUAGCGGCGGACGGGUGAGUAACACGUGGAUAACCUACCUAUAAGACUGGGAUAACUUCGGGAAACCGGAGCUAAUACCGGAUAAUAUAUUGAACCGCAUGGUUCUAUAGUGAAAGACGGUUUUGCUGUCACUUAUAGAUGGAUCCGCGCCGCAUUAGCUAGUUGGUAAGGUAACGGCUUACCAAGGCAACGAUGCGUAGCCGACCUGAGAGGGUGAUCGGCCACACUGGAACUGAGACACGGUCCAGACUCCUACGGGAGGCAGCAGUAGGGAAUCUUCCGCAAUGGGCGAAAGCUUGACGGAGCAACGCCGCGUGAGUGAUGAAGGUCUUCGGAUCGUAAAACGCUGUUAUUAGGGAAGAACAAAUGUGUAAGUAACUAUGCACGUCUUGACGGUACCUAAUCAGAAAGCCACGGCUAACUACGU